AUUGAACGCUGGCGGCAGGCUUAACACAUGCAAGUCGAGCGGGGUGAUGGUGCUUGCACUAUCACUUAGCGGCGGACGGGUGAGUAAUGCUUAGGAAUCUGCCUAUUAGUGGGGGACAACAUCUCGAAAGGGAUGCUAAUACCGCAUACGUCCUACGGGAGAAAGCAGGGGAUCACUUGUGACCUUGCGCUAAUAGAUGAGCCUAAGUCGGAUUAGCUAGUUGGUGGGGUAAAGGCCUACCAAGGCGACGAUCUGUAGCGGGUCUGAGAGGAUGAUCCGCCACACUGGGACUGAUCCACUGCCCAGACUCCUGCGGGAGGCAGCAGUGGGGAAUAUUGGACAAUGGGGGGAACCCUGAUCCAGCCAUUCCGCGUGUGUGAAGAAGGCCUUAUGGUUGUAAAGCACUUUAAGCGAGGAGGAGGCUCUUUUGGUUAAUACCCAAGAUGAGUGGACGUUACUCGCAGAAUAAGCACCGGCUAACUCUGUGCCAGCCGCCGCCGUAA
RNAcentral lists this ribosomal RNA (503 nucleotides) under uncultured bacterium. RNAcentral describes it as "partial 16S ribosomal RNA". It matches the Rfam family "Bacterial small subunit ribosomal RNA", at positions 30 to 523 of the family's 1533-position model. The record is from RNAcentral.